Long non-coding RNA from Cryptomeria japonica (Japanese cedar), 955 nucleotides. RefSeq lists it as uncharacterized. The transcript is spliced from 3 exons. The record is from RefSeq and is a predicted model, not a curated record. Lineage: Eukaryota; Viridiplantae; Streptophyta; Pinopsida; Cupressales; Cupressaceae.
AACAGUUUGCACGGAUUUAUAUUUUUUGGUUCCUGCCGGCAGGGACUAUAGCGGAGGGCUUUUAUAUUAACGAGUGAUUAAUGCGGUGGCAAUGGACCAAUCAAAAACCAUUGUUUUCAAAAUAUUUUGCAUUUGCUAGUAUUCGCAUCCGUGAACUUGUGUAUUUUUAAAAAAAAAUGUUUUAAGAAAAUUGUUUGGCAUUUAAUGGUUGGCUUUGUUUACGGCGUGCAAAGGCCUGCCCGUUUCUCAAUGAGAGAGAACGCACGAGCCCAAAGGAAGUUGCAAGGGCCACCAAAACAAAUGUUUGCAGACCGCAACUAGUUAAAACAUGGCUGCCCAAAAAAAUCCACGGAUUGAAGGCAACAUUUGGCAGUAUGGAUUCGCGCUACACAGUUGCCGAUUAGGGUUCCCAUUUGCUAUGACAGACUGCCACGGGGGCAUAGACUGGUGGUGAUUAGGGUUCUAGUUUUGCCAUUAUUAAAUUUCAGAGGUUGCGGUUUUCUCAGUCAUUUCUCGCUGAUAACACAGAGGGACACAGAACAGCAAUGUAUGGCAUGCUUUGAUGCAUGAGGCAAGCCACUGUAACACCUGGGCAACACACAACAGCCCCACUCCAUGCAUUGCAGUUAGAUAGGAUUCAAAAUUGAGGCGUGCUAGAUGCUAGUCAAAGUGCUCAACUGUUUAAGGCGCGGGCAAUUGAAAAUAAGAAAAAGUUUUCUCUUUUAACACGGUGCUCAGUUUCUUCUAUUUUAUCAGUGAAAUAUUUUUAUUUUUAUUUUUUCGGAUUCGCUCAUGUCAUUCGGCUCUAUUUAUAUGAUUAUUUUCAUUAUUUGAUGAGGGUAUCUUAGUGUAUUCGCAUGUAUUUAUAUGCAAUUAUUUGGAGUUCAGUUUGAUCUUCAAAAUUCAUUCAUUUUCUGCAGUUUUACAAUUGAAUAGAGUCACACAAAGGAUAUAU